RNAcentral lists this transfer RNA (72 nucleotides) under Caenorhabditis brenneri. RNAcentral's name for it is "tRNA CBN27909". It matches the Rfam family "tRNA". From Rfam's summary of the family: Transfer RNA (tRNA) molecules are approximately 80 nucleotides in length. Lineage: Eukaryota; Metazoa; Nematoda; Chromadorea; Rhabditida; Rhabditidae. The record is from Rfam by way of RNAcentral.
UCUCACGUAGUCUAGUGGUUAGGAUUCAUGGUUUUCACCCACGCGGCCCGGGUUCGAUUUCCGGCAUGGAAA